RNAcentral lists this unclassified non-coding RNA (218 nucleotides) under Hevea brasiliensis (rubber tree). Lineage: Eukaryota; Viridiplantae; Streptophyta; Magnoliopsida; Malpighiales; Euphorbiaceae. The record is from RNAcentral.
AGCGCGCCCCUUUCUGCCGCACCCAGCCAAUAUGCACGGGAGCGGAUAAUCUCCUAAAUUCUAAAUAAGAAUUGUUCGAUCUGACAAUUAGAGCCGGUAUCUUAGUGCAUCACUCAGCAAUUCGGAUUGAUAGUUCUAUUUUAGAACGAUAUCAAUCGGCCCUGGUCGCUGCGGUCAUCGCUCAGCGCAGGCGCGCGACUUUUGAUCAUUCAAAGGGG